CCCUUAGAUGUUCUGGGCCGCACACGCGCUACACUGAAGGAGGCAGCGUGUACUCCUGGAUCGAAAGAUUUGGGUAACCCGCGAAUCUCCUUCGUGCUAGGGAUUGAGGUUUGCAAUUAUCCUUCAUGAACGAGGAAUUCCCAGUAAGUGCAAGUCAUAAGCUUGCGCUGACUACGUCCCUGCCCUUUGUACAAACCGCCCGUCGCUACUACCGAUUGAAUGAUUUAGUGAGGACUUCGGACUGGGACCGAUGCGGCUUUCGGGCUGCGUCGGUAUUCUGGAAAGAUGUCCAAACUGUAUCAUUUAGAGGAAGUAAAAGUCGUAACA
Molecule: ribosomal RNA, 327 nt
Filed under: uncultured eukaryote
Lineage: Eukaryota
Description: partial 18S ribosomal RNA
Rfam family: Eukaryotic small subunit ribosomal RNA
Source: RNAcentral